CACGGUGGUCCAGCGGUUAGAACGCUGGCCUUGUAAUCCUGGGGUCUCGGGUUCGAUUCCCGGCGGUG
RNAcentral lists this transfer RNA (68 nucleotides) under Zootermopsis nevadensis. It matches the Rfam family "tRNA". From Rfam's summary of the family: Transfer RNA (tRNA) molecules are approximately 80 nucleotides in length. Their secondary structure includes four short double-helical elements and three loops (D, anti-codon, and T loops). Further hydrogen bonds mediate the characteristic L-shaped molecular structure. tRNAs have two regions of fundamental functional importance: the anti-codon, which is responsible for specific mRNA codon recognition, and the 3' end, to which the tRNAs corresponding amino acid is attached (by aminoacyl-tRNA synthetases). tRNAs cope with the degeneracy of the genetic code in two manners: having more than one tRNA (with a specific anti-codon) for a particular amino acid; and 'wobble' base-pairing, i.e. permitting non-standard base-pairing at the 3rd anti-codon position. Lineage: Eukaryota; Metazoa; Arthropoda; Insecta; Blattodea; Termopsidae. The record is from Rfam by way of RNAcentral.